AUUGAACGCUGGCGGCAGGCCUAACACAUGCAAGUCGGGCGAGUGGCGGACGGGUGAGUAAUGUAUGGGGAUCUGCCUGAUGGCGGGGGAUAACUACUGGAAACGGUAGCUAAUACCGCAUACCAUCAGAUGAACCCAUAUGGGAUUAGCUUGUAGGUGGGGUAACGGCUCACCUAGGCGACGAUCCCUAGCUGGUCUGAGAGGAUGAUCAGCCACACUGGGACUGAGACACGGCCCAGACUCCUACGGGAGGCAGCAGUGGGGAAUAUUGCACAAUGGGCGCAAGCCUGAUGCAGCCAUGCCGCGUGUAUGAAGAAGGCCUUCGGGUUGUAAAGUUCUUUCGGCAGCGAGGCGUUAACUACAGAAGAAGCACCGGCUAACUCCGUGCCAGCAGCCGCGGUAAUUC
RNAcentral lists this ribosomal RNA (406 nucleotides) under uncultured bacterium. RNAcentral describes it as "partial 16S ribosomal RNA". It matches the Rfam family "Bacterial small subunit ribosomal RNA", at positions 30 to 526 of the family's 1533-position model. The record is from RNAcentral.